This 2877-nucleotide ribosomal RNA is filed under the name Burkholderia multivorans. RNAcentral describes it as "bacterial LSU rRNA". It matches the Rfam family "Bacterial large subunit ribosomal RNA". Lineage: Bacteria; Pseudomonadati; Pseudomonadota; Betaproteobacteria; Burkholderiales; Burkholderiaceae. The record is from RNAcentral.
UCAAGCGAACAAGUGCAUGUGGUGGAUGCCUUGGCGAUCACAGGCGAUGAAGGACGCGGUAGCCUGCGAAAAGCCCCGGGGAGCUGGCAAACAAGCUUUGAUCCGGGGAUGUCCGAAUGGGGAAACCCACUCCGUAUGGAGUAUCCAUGACUGAAUACAUAGGUCAUGUGAAGCGAACGCGGUGAACUGAAACAUCUAAGUAACCGCAGGAAAAGAAAUCAACCGAGAUUCCCAAAGUAGUGGCGAGCGAAAUGGGAUGAGCCUUGUACUCUUUAUUCGUAUUGUUAGCCGAACGCUCUGGAAAGUGCGGCCAUAGCAGGUGAUAGCCCUGUAGGCGAAAACAGUAUGAAAGAACUAGGUGUACGACAAGUAGGGCGGGACACGUGAAAUCCUGUCUGAAGAUGGGGGGACCAUCCUCCAAGGCUAAAUACUCGUGAUCGACCGAUAGUGAACCAGUACCGUGAGGGAAAGGCGAAAAGAACCCCGGGAGGGGAGUGAAAUAGAUCCUGAAACCGCAUGCAUACAAACAGUCGGAGCCUCGUAAGGGGUGACGGCGUACCUUUUGUAUAAUGGGUCAGCGACUUACGUUCAGUAGCAAGCUUAACCGUAUAGGGCAGGCGUAGCGAAAGCGAGUCCGAAUAGGGCGUUCAGUUGCUGGGCGUAGACCCGAAACCAGGUGAUCUAUCCAUGGCCAGGAUGAAGGUGCGGUAACACGUACUGGAGGUCCGAACCCACUAACGUUGAAAAGUUAGGGGAUGAGCUGUGGAUAGGGGUGAAAGGCUAAACAAACCUGGAAAUAGCUGGUUCUCUCCGAAAACUAUUUAGGUAGUGCCUCGUGUCUCACCUUCGGGGGUAGAGCACUGUCAUGGUUGGGGGGUCUAUUGCAGAUUACCCCGCCAUAGCAAACUCCGAAUACCGAAGAGUGCAAUCACGGGAGACAGACAUCGGGUGCUAACGUCCGGUGUCAAGAGGGAAACAACCCAGACCGCCAGCUAAGGUCCCCAAAUAUGGCUAAGUGGGAAACGAAGUGGGAAGGCUAAAACAGUCAGGAGGUUGGCUUAGAAGCAGCCACCCUUUAAAGAAAGCGUAAUAGCUCACUGAUCGAGUCGUCCUGCGCGGAAGAUGUAACGGGGCUAAGCCAUAUACCGAAGCUGCGGAUGCGAGCUUGCUCGCAUGGUAGGAGAGCGUUCCGUAAGCCUGCGAAGGUGUCUUGUAAAGGAUGCUGGAGGUAUCGGAAGUGCGAAUGCUGACAUGAGUAGCGAUAAAGGGGGUGAAAGGCCCCCUCGCCGUAAGCCCAAGGUUUCCUACGCAACGUUCAUCGGCGUAGGGUGAGUCGGCCCCUAAGGCGAGGCAGAAAUGCGUAGCUGAUGGGAAGCAGGUCAAUAUUCCUGCACCGUCGUUAGAUGCGAUGGGGGGACGGAUCGCGGAAGGUUGUCCGGGUGUUGGACGUCCCGGUCGCUGCAUUGGAGAAGGCGCUUAGGCAAAUCCGGGCGCAGGAUUCAAGGGUGUGGCGCGAGCGACUUCGGUCGCGAAGCAAUUGGAAGUGGUUCCAAGAAAAGCCUCUAAGCUUCAGUCUAACGAUGACCGUACCGCAAACCGACACAGGUGGGCGAGAUGAGUAUUCUAAGGCGCUUGAGAGAACUCGGGAGAAGGAACUCGGCAAAUUGGUACCGUAACUUCGGGAUAAGGUACGCCCUUGUAGCUUGACCAGCCUGCGCUGGAAGGGUGAAGGGGUUGCAAUAAACUGGUGGCUGCGACUGUUUAAUAAAAACACAGCACUCUGCAAACACGAAAGUGGACGUAUAGGGUGUGACGCCUGCCCGGUGCCGGAAGAUUAAAUGAUGGGGUGCAAGCUCUUGAUUGAAGUCCCGGUAAACGGCGGCCGUAACUAUAACGGUCCUAAGGUAGCGAAAUUCCUUGUCGGGUAAGUUCCGACCUGCACGAAUGGCGUAACGAUGGCCACACUGUCUCCUCCCGAGACUCAGCGAAGUUGAAGUGUUUGUGAUGAUGCAAUCUACCCGCGGCUAGACGGAAAGACCCCAUGAACCUUUACUGUAGCUUUGCAUUGGACUUUGAACCGAUCUGUGUAGGAUAGGUGGGAGGCUAUGAAACCGGAACGCUAGUUUCGGUGGAGCCGUCCUUGAAAUACCACCCUGGUUUGUUUGAGGUUCUAACCUUGGUCCGUGAUCCGGAUCGGGGACAGUGCAUGGUAGGCAGUUUGACUGGGGCGGUCUCCUCCCAAAGGGUAACGGAGGAGUACGAAGGUACGCUAGGUACGGUCGGAAAUCGUGCUGAUAGUGCAAUGGCAUAAGCGUGCUUAACUGCGAGACCGACAAGUCGAGCAGGUGCGAAAGCAGGUCAUAGUGAUCCGGUGGUUCUGUAUGGAAGGGCCAUCGCUCAACGGAUAAAAGGUACUCUGGGGAUAACAGGCUGAUACCGCCCAAGAGUUCAUAUCGACGGCGGUGUUUGGCACCUCGAUGUCGGCUCAUCUCAUCCUGGGGCUGUAGCCGGUCCCAAGGGUAUGGCUGUUCGCCAUUUAAAGAGGUACGUGAGCUGGGUUUAAAACGUCGUGAGACAGUUUGGUCCCUAUCUGCCGUGGGCGUUGGAUAUUUGAAGGGGGCUGCUCCUAGUACGAGAGGACCGGAGUGGACGAACCUCUGGUGUACCGGUUGUGACGCCAGUCGCAUCGCCGGGUAGCUAUGUUCGGAAGAGAUAACCGCUGAAAGCAUCUAAGCGGGAAACUCGCCUUAAGAUGAGAUAUCCCUGGAGGCUUGACCUCCUUGAAGGGUCGUUCGAGACCAGGACGUUGAUAGGUCGGGUGUGUAAGCGCAGUAAUGCGUUCAGCUAACCGAUACUAAUUGCCCGUAAGGCUUGAUC